Molecule: long non-coding RNA, 234 nt
Filed under: Arabidopsis lyrata
Lineage: Eukaryota; Viridiplantae; Streptophyta; Magnoliopsida; Brassicales; Brassicaceae
Description: long non-coding RNA (ALYR_LNC002435)
Source: RNAcentral
CUAUUCUCACUAUGAUUUUGACACUUAAGGUCAGAUUUAGGAUAUAUUAAGAUUGAUUUUAAGUUACUCCGAAUGAUCCACGCGAGUAAGACCACUGUGUUGUUAGGCCUUAACUAUGACACACCCAAACAAUAUGUGGUCCAAGAGGUGCCAAUCAACAGUGCAUAAAGCCAUUUGCUACUUAGGUUUAUACUCUUAACUCUUAAGUACAACAUGACUAAGCAGCCCGAUGGC